UCCCUGGUGGCUUAGAGGGUAAAGCAUCUGCCUACAAUGCAGGAGACCCAGGUUCAAUCCCUGGGUCGGGAA
This 72-nucleotide transfer RNA is filed under the name Bos taurus (domestic cattle). It matches the Rfam family "tRNA". Rfam says of the family: Transfer RNA (tRNA) molecules are approximately 80 nucleotides in length. Their secondary structure includes four short double-helical elements and three loops (D, anti-codon, and T loops). Further hydrogen bonds mediate the characteristic L-shaped molecular structure. tRNAs have two regions of fundamental functional importance: the anti-codon, which is responsible for specific mRNA codon recognition, and the 3' end, to which the tRNAs corresponding amino acid is attached (by aminoacyl-tRNA synthetases). tRNAs cope with the degeneracy of the genetic code in two manners: having more than one tRNA (with a specific anti-codon) for a particular amino acid; and 'wobble' base-pairing, i.e. permitting non-standard base-pairing at the 3rd anti-codon position. RNAcentral also lists the same sequence under 4 other names. The record is from Rfam by way of RNAcentral. Lineage: Eukaryota; Metazoa; Chordata; Mammalia; Artiodactyla; Bovidae.